Molecule: long non-coding RNA, 807 nt
Organism: Ostrinia nubilalis (European corn borer)
Lineage: Eukaryota; Metazoa; Arthropoda; Insecta; Lepidoptera; Crambidae
Exons: 3
Source: RefSeq, a predicted model, not a curated record
GGAUCAUCCAUCAUCACAUCGAGGGAUCAGCAAAGGGUACCGUGUUGUGCUUCCUCACGAGUCACGUACGCAGUUUACAGGAAUUUGACCCCAACGACUACUCUCCACUCACUCCUGCCCACUUCACUAUUGGUCGGCCGCUGACUGCACCUGCAGAGAGUGAUGUUACCGCUGCAACCACGCACACACUCAAUCGUUACCAGCGAGUUGAACAGCUGAGGCAGACAUUUUGGAGGAGAUGGUCUACAGAGUACAUAUCAGAGCUUCAGAAACGUACUAAAUGGCAACAGAAAACUGAAGACUUGCAAACUGGAACAUUGGUUGUCAUAAAGGACGAUAACCUUCCGCCGCUGAAAUGGCGGUUAGGACGCAUAAUAACUCUGAUUUCAGGCAGUGACGGCGUACCAAGGGUUGCUGUCAUUCGGACGGCCACGGGCGUUAUACACAGGGCAUUCUCAAAGAUAUGCCCACUUCCGGUCGCUGAGGUGCCAGGUUCGAGGCUCGGCGCGUGACACGACGUGAGCUGAGAUGUUGAGAGGGAGUCUCUCAAGGCCCGCCGGAAUGUUAAGAAGAGCCAUCUAUUGGAGCGCGUGAGAAGCUCCAACUAAAGAUCAAUGGCAAUACUAUCACCGAGCACACCGCAUCGAUUACGUCACGCGAUGUCAAGAAACCACAACAGAUGGCGCUGAAGCACACCUAUAUAAACGAUUGCACAGACGCUUAACGUCUCUCAUUCUCAUUUGAACUUUCAACUGAAAUAUUGUAAACGCUUUAUUGUAAAGUAAUAAAUCCCAGUAUAUCUUCAAA